AAACAAGCCUAAGGAUAUGGAUGUAAAAGAUUGGAAGUAUUUGGUUAAUCUUUGGACAGAAAAUGCAUUUCAGAGAGAAGCAACAAAAAUAAGACAAAUAGAUGCAAGCGUUUUAUGCCGCCAUACACGGGGACAAAAAGCUUUGCUUGGCUGAGAGAUCAUAUGAAGAACAAAAAAAAUGGAAAAACACUUUCUCGCUUAGAGCUUUUUCUUGAAUCCAGAAAGAGAAAGCAAGGCAAAGAAAUUGAUCCAAUAUCACAAGAAGCCAUUGAAAAGUUUCAGCAACUAAAGAAAUAACGAGAAGAAGGACAAGUUUCACUGGAUGAUGAUGCUAUGUUUGCUGAUGUACUUGGGCUAGAAAAAAUGGUUAUGUACGUGCUUAUGGUCCUGGAAAAAAUGUUACGGAAUAUUUUGGUGCUAGACCUACAAAGAUAGAACUACUUAAACAACUUGAUACUUCAAGAAGAGAAGCAAACGAGCGUAUCCAACAAAUUCAAAAAGAAGCAAGUGAACAAGUAAAUGAUGUUAAGAAGCAAAUGGAUGAGAAACUUGCAGAGAUGAAUAGAAUAUGAGAGCAGAAAUUCAAGAUGCUUUUGGAGAAAAACAAUAAUAUUGCAUCACCUAUGGAGGAUUCCCAAGAUGAUGAAAUUGGAGGAUGAUUUGCAGUAUAUUUGAAGUUUUGGAUUUUGAAGCAGCCAGCAGCCUUAUAAUACUACUUUUAAAAAAUUUAGAUAUUAAUAUUAGUGUUAGUAUGGUAUUAUAAUUUCAAGUAUUUUUAGUGUGAUUGGUUUAUGACUUAAAUUAGUUUAUUUUGGAUAUUAGUUAUUUUGACUUAAAUGUAUUGUUAUUUUA
Molecule: long non-coding RNA, 852 nt
Organism: Manihot esculenta (cassava)
Lineage: Eukaryota; Viridiplantae; Streptophyta; Magnoliopsida; Malpighiales; Euphorbiaceae
Exons: 5
Source: RefSeq, a predicted model, not a curated record